This 255-nucleotide ribosomal RNA is filed under the name uncultured bacterium. RNAcentral describes it as "partial 16S ribosomal RNA". It matches the Rfam family "Bacterial small subunit ribosomal RNA", at positions 524 to 776 of the family's 1533-position model. The record is from RNAcentral.
UACAUGGGGUGCAAACGUUGCUCGGAAUUAUUGGGCGUAAAGCGCACGUAGGCGGUUCGUUAAGUCGGAUGUGAAAGCCCUCGGCUCAACUGAGGAAGUGCACCCGAAACUGGCGAGCUUGAGUACGAAAAGAGGAUCGCGGAAUUCCCGGUGUAGAGGUGAAAUUCGUAGAUAUCGGGAGGAACACCGGUGGCGAAGGCGGCUCUCUGGACCGAGACUGACGCGUGAGGCGCGAAAGCGUGGGGAGCAAACAGG